Drosophila gunungcola (fruit fly) is the source of this 570-nucleotide long non-coding RNA. RefSeq lists it as uncharacterized. The transcript is spliced from 2 exons. The record is from RefSeq and is a predicted model, not a curated record. Lineage: Eukaryota; Metazoa; Arthropoda; Insecta; Diptera; Drosophilidae.
UGGAGAUUGAGCUAUGUCUGGCCCAAACUGCUUCUGACGUGAAGACGCCGCAAAAAGUGAAACCAACUGAGACAACGCGAUCGGAGACAAAAUUGGCACUCAAAAAAAUAUCAAUGAUAAACAAAAUGCAAUUCAAACUUUUCAACUAAACAAGCACUGGUGCUUGGGACUUUAAGCCCUGAUUUAAUGACUUGCAAGUCCAGCUGAGCCGUCGCCCAUCCGUUUCUUGAAGCCGCAAAUCCUGUUCACAAAUUAGAAGCCACAGCAACCAGCCAAACAAACCGCAGUAGCCCCAUCCUCGAAGCCCUCUAACUGGUCUUUUGGAAUAAAACCGCAGCCAAAACACAAAAACCAAAACGCCCACCCAAAAAAAGAGACAGAACAAAGCCAAACAAGUGACGUCUUUUGUCCGAUGGCCAGUGUCCAAACUCUUGGAUCGUUGCACUGUUGCGUUUUCGAAUUUCAACUUGGUCUGCGUGUAAAUUUACUUGCUCAGAUUCAAUUCAAAAGCGAUUAUCACCACUUAGCUGUCAGCGACACGAUGCCAAACUUCGGGCCAAAAAAACAAAA